CAAACACCCGACGUUGACCCAACGUUGGAUCAACGUUGAAUUUUGGUCGCGACGUCGGUGACCUUCAUACAACGUCAAAUCGACGUUGAAUCCCCGACAUCUAACAGACGUUUCAUUUUGACGUCGACUCGAUGUCGGGUUUUGGUCGGUAAUCUGAUAAUAGGUAAAUUUAAUUUUGAAACCAAUAUAUAUAUAAAUGAAAGCAUAAACAGCGAGAAUUUUAAGUUUAAGUUUAGAAAGGGAACAUUAUAUAUUUAUUUUCUCCAUCAAAACAACAGUAUCACAUGGGUGGCUAACGUACGAUAUUCGAAAGGUGGCGCUCUGUAAACGGAUAGUCGCAGAUCCGUAUGAAAUAUAUUUGCUCUAUUUUCGUUUAAAUAAUAUCUUAUCUCCUCGAAUUAGUCUAAGAAGUGUUUAUAUAAUUUACAAUGAAGCUGUUAUCAUUUUUGAGGGCUUCAUUUUAUAGUGAUAAAUAAUUUAGUAAAUUCGAAUUUGCAUCUUAUCGGAUUUGAAAUUCAAUUGUAUUGGCGGACAAAAAAAACGACGGGUUGAAAGACAAAGUUGUAUAUUCCAAACAAAAGAAAAAGAUUGUGAAAAUUAUGUUAAUUCAUCAUGUGUCAAAAGUUCAGGAGGAAGAUGAAAAUAUUUAGAGGAAAAGAAAAAUGAAACCUACCAAGAUUUUGUGACAGAAAGUGUGAUGAGAUCUUAGGUUGGAGACGGUAAUGAUACACUUAUAGUAUGCCCCAUGCAGAUCGACAUAUAGUGUAGGAGGACGAAAGAAGCUAGAAUACUAAUGAAGAUACAUGAACAUUGCUAUUUAUAGUUAUAACAAAAUAUUCAGAAUAUUGUUCCAUUUAACAUUCAGAUCUAGAUUCAGUUAUAAAAUACAAAGACAAAUAUACAACUAGUGAGUUGGAUAGAUGAUUGAAAAAUCCCAAACUCAGAGUGAUCAGUUCAGUGGUGAUAUAAGAAAAAACACAUGCAUGGAUGUUUGCUAUAUAAAAUGUCAGUGUUAAUAUUCAAGAAAGAUUUUGUUUAUCUUAUUUCUAAAACAUGCUUAAUUAAUACAUAUAGCGUUAUUAAAGUACAUACCGUCAAGUUUAAUAGUUUCAAAAAAUAUUAUGUAAAUCUUGCAUUUGUUAUAGUACCACAUUUCUUGUUUUUGUACUUGUGAUUCCGAAUAUAAAAUAAAUUGCUAAAAUCAUAAGAAUGCUUAUUUAUUAACCCUAUUAAAGAGCUUCAAAAUGAAAAAAAAAAUCAUAUUCCAAAAGUUUUGAAUGAGGUUAAAUUAUUGUCAGAAAAUUUGGUCAGAUAAGGUUGGUAUAUGGUCAGAUAAUGGUCAGAAAAGGUUGGAUUAUGGUCAGAAAAAGGUUGGAUUAUGUCCAAAUAAUGGUCAGAAAAGGUUGGAUUAUGGUCAGAUAAUAGUCAGACAAGGUUGGAUUAUGGUCAGAAAAGGUUGGAUAAAGGUCAUUUUAUGACGUUGUAUAGACGUCGGUUUCUGACGUCUAAAAAACUUUCAAAUCCAACCUUCUGCCAACGUUUUCCCAACGUCAGGGUCUAACGUCAGUACAACGUUGGUACAACGUCUUUUG
This is a long non-coding RNA of Ruditapes philippinarum (Manila clam), 1592 nucleotides long. RefSeq lists it as uncharacterized. The transcript is spliced from 3 exons. NCBI's taxonomy places the organism in Eukaryota, Metazoa, Mollusca, Bivalvia, Venerida, Veneridae. The record is from RefSeq and is a predicted model, not a curated record.